GAUGAACGCUGGCGGCGUGCCUAAUACAUGCAAGUCGAGCGAACAGACGAGGAGCUUGCUCCUCUGACGUUAGCGGCGGACGGGUGAGUAACACGUGGAUAACCUACCUAUAAUACUGGGAUAACUACGGGAAACCGGAGCUAAUACCGGAUAAUAUAUUGAACCGCAUGGUUCAAUAGUGAAUGACGGUUUUGCUGUCACUUAUAGCUGGAUCCGCGCCGCAUUAGCUAGUUGGUAAGGUAACGGCUUACCAAGGCAACGAUGCGUAGCCGACCUGAGAGGGUGAUCGGCCACACUGGAACUGAGACACGGUCCAGACUCCUACGGGAGGCAGCAGUAGGGAAUCUUCCGCAAUGGGCGAAAGCCUGACGGAGCAACGCCGCGUGAGUGAUGAAGGUCUUCGGAUCGUAAAACUCUGUUAUUAGGGAAGAACAAAUGUGUAAGUAACUAUGCACGUCUUGACGGUACCUAAUCAGAAAGCCACGGCUAACUACGUG
Molecule: ribosomal RNA, 497 nt
Filed under: uncultured bacterium
Lineage: Bacteria
Description: partial 16S ribosomal RNA
Rfam family: Bacterial small subunit ribosomal RNA
Source: RNAcentral